RNAcentral lists this ribosomal RNA (468 nucleotides) under uncultured bacterium. RNAcentral's name for it is "partial 16S ribosomal RNA". It matches the Rfam family "Bacterial small subunit ribosomal RNA", at positions 28 to 507 of the family's 1533-position model. The record is from RNAcentral.
GACGAACGCUGGCGGCGUGCUUAACACAUGCAAGUCGAACGGAAAGGCCCUGCUUUUGUGGGGUGCUCGAUUGGCGAACGGGUGAGUAACACGUGAGUAACCUGCCCUUGACUUUGGGAUAACUUCAGGAAAAUGGGGCUAAUACCGGAUAGGAGCUCCUGCUGCAUGGUGGGGGUUGGAAAGUUUCGGCGGUUGGGGAUGGACUCGCGGCUUAUCAGCUGGUUGGUGGGGUAGUGGCUGACCAAGGCUUUGACGGGUAGCCGGCCUGAGAGGGUGACCGGCCACAUUGGGACUGAGAGACGGCCCAGACUCCUACGGGCGGCAGCAGUGGGGAAUCUUGCACAAUGGGCGGAAGCCUGAUGCAGCAACGCCGCGUGCGGGAUGCCGGCCUUCGGGCUGUAAACCGCUUUCGCAUGUGACGAAGCGUGAGUGACGGUAAUGGGUAAAGAAGCCCCGGCUAACUACGUG